This 644-nucleotide long non-coding RNA is filed under the name Physcomitrium patens. RNAcentral describes it as "long non-coding RNA (PPAT_LNC002067)". Lineage: Eukaryota; Viridiplantae; Streptophyta; Bryopsida; Funariales; Funariaceae. The record is from RNAcentral.
GAAGUCUUACUUGAGAAUGCUCCGGGCACCUGGCUAUAGAAGGAAGAAUGGAAAUUGCAAUAACAAAAUCCUAAUUCUAAUAGAAUACUAACAAUGCUCUAAUUAGACCAUAAUAAUGCUAAGCAAGCUUAAUCAAAUUCAAAAUAACCUCAAAGAAAUUUCAAACAAACAAUAAAAAUUCUUAAAGAAAUAUUAGAAGGAUAAAAAAUAUCACUCAAAUAUAUCUCAAUUCAAUCUUAAUUUAAUUCUAGUUAAAAUCCUAUUGAACUUCAUUAAAACUUUAGGCCAAAACUAAUUGAAUCUUAAAUCCUAAUAAAAUCCUAAAUCUUAAAUCAAACCCUAAACAAACCUUAAACCAAACCCCAACCAAAUCCUAAAUCAAAUCUUAACCAAAUCCUAAACCAAACCCUAAAUCCUAAAUAAAAUCCUAACUAAAUCCUAAACCAAAUCCUAAUCCAAAUCCUAAACUCUAAAUCAAAUCCUAACCAAAUCUUAAAUUCUAAAUCAAAUCCUAAUCUAAAUCCUAAAUCCUAAAGUAAACCGUAAUCAAAUCCUAAUCCUAAAUCAAACCCUAAUCCAAAUCCUAAUCAAACCUUAAACCAAAUCCUUAACCAAAUCCUAACCAAACCCUAAUCAAAUCCUAA